RNAcentral lists this ribosomal RNA (253 nucleotides) under uncultured bacterium. RNAcentral's name for it is "partial 16S ribosomal RNA". It matches the Rfam family "Bacterial small subunit ribosomal RNA", at positions 524 to 776 of the family's 1533-position model. The record is from RNAcentral.
UACGAAGGGGGCUAGCGUUACUCGGAUUGACUGGGCGUAAAGGGCGCGUAGGCGGUUUGUUCAGUCAGACGUGAAAUUCCUGGGCUCAACCUGGGGGCUGCGUUUGAUACGUGCAGACUUGAGUUCGGAAGAGGGUCGUGGAAUUCCCAGUGUAGAGGUGAAAUCCGUAGAUAUUCGCAAGAACACCAGUGGCGAAGGCGGCUCACUGGCUCGGUACUGACGCUGAGGUGCGAAAGCGUGGGGAGCAAACAGG